UGGGGAAUAUUGCGCAAUGGGGAGGACCCUGACGCAGCAACGCCGCGUGCAGGAAGAAGGUCUUCGGAUUGUAAACUGUUGUCGCAAGGGAAGAAGACAGUGACGGUACCUUGUGAGAAAGUCACGGCUAACUACGUGCCAGCAGCCGCGGUAAUACGUAGGUGACAAGCGUUGUCCGGAUUUACUGGGUGUAAAGGGCGCGUAGGCGGACUGUCAAGUCAGUCGUGAAAUACCGGGGCUUAACCCCGGGCUGCGAUUGAAACUGACAGCCUUGAGUAUCGGAGAGGAAAGCGGAAUUCCUAGUGUAGCGGUGAAAUGCGUAGAUAUUAGGAGGAACACCAGUGGCGAAGGCGGCUUUCUGGACGACAACUGACGCUGAGGCGCGAAAGUGUGGGGAGCAAACAGGAUUAGAUACC
This 416-nucleotide ribosomal RNA is filed under the name uncultured bacterium. RNAcentral describes it as "bacterial SSU rRNA". It matches the Rfam family "Bacterial small subunit ribosomal RNA", at positions 355 to 786 of the family's 1533-position model. The record is from RNAcentral.